GUGCUCGCUUCGGCAGCACGUGUAUUAAAAUCGGAACAAUACAGAGAAGAUUAGCAUGGCCCCUGUGCAAGGAUGACAUGCAAAUUCAUGAAGUGUUCCAUAGUUUU
Phyllostomus discolor (pale spear-nosed bat) is the source of this 107-nucleotide small nuclear RNA. The record is from RefSeq and is a predicted model, not a curated record. NCBI's taxonomy places the organism in Eukaryota, Metazoa, Chordata, Mammalia, Chiroptera, Phyllostomidae.